UGUAGUUUCAAUGGUGAGGCAUAUAUGUCAACUAUGGGUGUUGGCUCCAAUAAUUCUCAUUGGUCUCAAACCAAUGAGAUGCAUUUUGAUGAUCAUGAGUUUGAGGUGGACGAAGAUGGGGAGGGCAUCGUCGAUGCACCGAAAGGAAGAGGGGGCAACUACACCAUGGACGAAGACAUCUUGCUAUGCAAUACUUGGUUGCAAGUGUUGAGGGAUCCCUCCAUUGGAAGGGAUCAAAGUAGAGAGAUGCAUAUUGGCUCCGGAUGA
RNAcentral lists this ribosomal RNA (267 nucleotides) under Triticum aestivum (bread wheat). Its description in RNAcentral is "partial small subunit ribosomal RNA". The record is from RNAcentral. Lineage: Eukaryota; Viridiplantae; Streptophyta; Magnoliopsida; Poales; Poaceae.